UUAAGUUAUUAAGGGCGCACGGUGGAUGCCUUGGCACUAGAAGCCGAUGAAGGACGUUACUAACGACGAUAUGCUUUGGGGAGCUGUAAGUAAGCUUUGAUCCAGAGAUUUCCGAAUGGGGAAACCCAGCAUGAGUUAUGUCAUGUUAUCGAUAUGUGAAUACAUAGCAUAUCAGAAGGCACACCCGGAGAACUGAAACAUCUUAGUACCCGGAGGAAGAGAAAGAAAAUUCGAUUCCCUUAGUAGCGGCGAGCGAAACGGGAAGAGCCCAAACCAACAAGCUUGCUUGUUGGGGUUGUAGGACACUCUAUACGGAGUUACAAAGGACGACAUUAGACGAAUCAUCUGGAAAGAUGAAUCAAAGAAGGUAAUAAUCCUGUAGUCGAAAAUGUUGUCUCUCUUGAGUGGAUCCUGAGUACGACGGAGCACGUGAAAUUCCGUCGGAAUCUGGGAGGACCAUCUCCUAAGGCUAAAUACUCUCUAGUGACCGAUAGUGAACCAGUACCGUGAGGGAAAGGUGAAAAGCACCCCGGAAGGGGAGUGAAACAGAACCUGAAACCGUGUGCUUACAAGUAGUCAGAGCCCGUUAAUGGGUGAUGGCGUGCCUUUUGUAGAAUGAACCGGCGAGUUACGAUUUGAUGCAAGGUUAAGCAGUAAAUGUGGAGCCGUAGCGAAAGCGAGUCUGAAUAGGGCGUUUAGUAUUUGGUCGUAGACCCGAAACCAGGUGAUCUACCCUUGGUCAGGUUGAAGUUCAGGUAACACUGAAUGGAGGACCGAACCGACUUACGUUGAAAAGUGAGCGGAUGAACUGAGGGUAGCGGAGAAAUUCCAAUCGAACCUGGAGAUAGCUGGUUCUCUCCGAAAUAGCUUUAGGGCUAGCCUCAAGUGAUGAUUAUUGGAGGUAGAGCACUGUUUGGACGAGGGGCCCCUCUCGGGUUACCGAAUUCAGACAAACUCCGAAUGCCAAUUAAUUUAACUUGGGAGUCAGAACAUGGGUGAUAAGGUCCGUGUUCGAAAGGGAAACAGCCCAGACCACCAGCUAAGGUCCCAAAAUAUAUGUUAAGUGGAAAAGGAUGUGGCGUUGCCCAGACAACUAGGAUGUUGGCUUAGAAGCAGCCAUCAUUUAAAGAGUGCGUAAUAGCUCACUAGUCGAGUGACACUGCGCCGAAAAUGUACCGGGGCUAAACAUAUUACCGAAGCUGUGGAUUGUCCUUUGGACAAUGGUAGGAGAGCGUUCUAAGGGCGUUGAAGCAUGAUCGUAAGGACAUGUGGAGCGCUUAGAAGUGAGAAUGCCGGUGUGAGUAGCGAAAGACGGGUGAGAAUCCCGUCCACCGAUUGACUAAGGUUUCCAGAGGAAGGCUCGUCCGCUCUGGGUUAGUCGGGUCCUAAGCUGAGGCCGACAGGCGUAGGCGAUGGAUAACAGGUUGAUAUUCCUGUACCACCUAUAAUCGUUUUAAUCGAUGGGGGGACGCAGUAGGAUAGGCGAAGCGUGCGAUUGGAUUGCACGUCUAAGCAGUAAGGCUGAGUAUUAGGCAAAUCCGGUACUCAUUAAGGCUGAGCUGUGAUGGGGAGAAGACAUUGUGUCUUCGAGUCGUUGAUUUCACACUGCCGAGAAAAGCCUCUAGAUAGAAAAUAGGUGCCCGUACCGCAAACCGACACAGGUAGUCAAGAUGAGAAUUCUAAGGUGAGCGAGCGAACUCUCGUUAAGGAACUCGGCAAAAUGACCCCGUAACUUCGGGAGAAGGGGUGCUCUUUAGGGUUAACGCCCAGAAGAGCCGCAGUGAAUAGGCCCAAGCGACUGUUUAUCAAAAACACAGGUCUCUGCUAAACCGUAAGGUGAUGUAUAGGGGCUGACGCCUGCCCGGUGCUGGAAGGUUAAGAGGAGUGGUUAGCUUCUGCGAAGCUACGAAUCGAAGCCCCAGUAAACGGCGGCCGUAACUAUAACGGUCCUAAGGUAGCGAAAUUCCUUGUCGGGUAAGUUCCGACCCGCACGAAAGGCGUAACGAUUUGGGCACUGUCUCAACGAGAGACUCGGUGAAAUCAUAGUACCUGUGAAGAUGCAGGUUACCCGCGACAGGACGGAAAGACCCCGUGGAGCUUUACUGUAGCCUGAUAUUGAAAUUCGGCACAGCUUGUACAGGAUAGGUAGGAGCCUUUGAAACGUGAGCGCUAGCUUACGUGGAGGCGCUGGUGGGAUACUACCCUAGCUGUGUUGGCUUUCUAACCCGCACCACUUAUCGUGGUGGGAGACAGUGUCAGGCGGGCAGUUUGACUGGGGCGGUCGCCUCCUAAAAGGUAACGGAGGCGCUCAAAGGUUCCCUCAGAAUGGUUGGAAAUCAUUCAUAGAGUGUAAAGGCAUAAGGGAGCUUGACUGCGAGACCUACAAGUCGAGCAGGGUCGAAAGACGGACUUAGUGAUCCGGUGGUUCCGCAUGGAAGGGCCAUCGCUCAACGGAUAAAAGCUACCCCGGGGAUAACAGGCUUAUCUCCCCCAAGAGUUCACAUCGACGGGGAGGUUUGGCACCUCGAUGUCGGCUCAUCGCAUCCUGGGGCUGUAGUCGGUCCCAAGGGUUGGGCUGUUCGCCCAUUAAAGCGGUACGCGAGCUGGGUUCAGAACGUCGUGAGACAGUUCGGUCCCUAUCCGUCGUGGGCGUAGGAAAUUUGAGAGGAGCUGUCCUUAGUACGAGAGGACCGGGAUGGACAUACCUCUGGU
Molecule: ribosomal RNA, 2712 nt
Filed under: Staphylococcus aureus 28(18S1K13-24-05)
Lineage: Bacteria; Bacillati; Bacillota; Bacilli; Caryophanales; Staphylococcaceae
Description: bacterial LSU rRNA
Rfam family: Bacterial large subunit ribosomal RNA
Source: RNAcentral